GGUCAAAAAGGAGCCCAGAGUGACAGUUUUCCUUGACGGUCGCCGUUCUGUUUGUUGUAACUGAUCUGCAACAUUUUGGGAAAAUACAGUUCCAUUGUACCUGCCACCUUUCAGCUGUAGCCAGAGACCUUUAUCAAAAUGGGCUUGUUUCCACAGAACAGCAGAACGGUUGGGGGUUUGCAUGUACAGUUAACCAGCAUAAGACUCGUACUGGGAAAAUCCAGCUGGGAUGUGACACAGCUUAACUGAUAGCUUAAGGCAUCAGUAUUGGGACCAAAGGCUGGUCAGAUUUGUAUCAUUCUGAGGACCAAAUGAUGGGAACAAUAAAAUUGUUCAUGACAGUUGUUCUCAUUUUGCUGUCCAGAUGAAGACUCUUAAGAUGACAGAAGGUGAUUUUUCUGGUGAUCGAGGACUUCCGGGGUAAUGACAGUGAUGAAAUGCAGGGGACCUGGUUGCCCCCAAGUUUCCUGGCAGUGUGUGAUACUGAGGAGGUGAGCUUGUUUCUGGAGCUGUGCUUUAAGAUUCAUGUUACAUGUAAAGCUGUCCUCAUUUGUGACUAUGGACCUAUGGAGUUGGGACAAUCUCUAUGGGAAGCAGAAGGCAAGGACCCCGGUCAUUUUAGGUAGAAACAACAGCAUGCUAAUGCAAAAAAUUAUGCAGUGUGCUACUGAACUUCAGAGGUGAUCAAUAAAAGAAGAAUAAAAAGACUAAUAAAAGUA
Molecule: long non-coding RNA, 719 nt
Organism: Homo sapiens (human)
Lineage: Eukaryota; Metazoa; Chordata; Mammalia; Primates; Hominidae
Gene: SNHG12
Product: small nucleolar RNA host gene 12
Source: Ensembl